UACGUAGGGGGCAAGCGUUGUCCGGAAUUAUUGGGCGUAAAGAGCGUGUAGGCGGUCCGGUAAGUCGGCUGUGAAAGUCCAGGGCUCAACCCUGGGAUGCCGGUCGAUACUGCCGGACUAGAGUUCGGAAGAGGCGAGUGGAAUUCCCGGUGUAGCGGUGAAAUGCGCAGAUAUCGGGAGGAACAUCUAUGGCGAAGGCAGCUCGCUGGGACGUUACUGACGCUGAGACGCGAAAGCGUGGGGAGCAAACAGG
This 253-nucleotide ribosomal RNA is filed under the name uncultured bacterium. RNAcentral describes it as "partial 16S ribosomal RNA". It matches the Rfam family "Bacterial small subunit ribosomal RNA", at positions 524 to 776 of the family's 1533-position model. The record is from RNAcentral.